UACGGGGGGGGCAAGCGUUGUUCGGAAUUACUGGGCGUAAAGGGCUCGUAGGCGGCCAACUAAGUCGGACGUGAAAUCCCCAGGCUCAACCUGGGAACUGCGUCCGAUACUGGAUGGCUUGAAUUCGGGAGAGGGAUGCAGAAUUCCAGGUGUAGCGGUGAAAUGCGUAGAUAUCUGGAGGAACACCAAUGGCGAAGGCAGCUCGCUGGGACGUUACUGACGCUGAGACGCGAAAGCGUGGGGAGCAAACAGG
This 253-nucleotide ribosomal RNA is filed under the name uncultured bacterium. RNAcentral's name for it is "partial 16S ribosomal RNA". It matches the Rfam family "Bacterial small subunit ribosomal RNA", at positions 524 to 776 of the family's 1533-position model. The record is from RNAcentral.